GCACAAGCGGUGGAGCAUGUGGAUUAAUUCGAUGCAACGCGAAGAACCCUACCUGGGCUUGACAUGCACUAGAAACCUGUAGAGAUACAGGCCCCCUUGUGGUUGGUGUACAGGUGGUGCAUGGCUGUCGUCAGCUCGUGUCGUGAGAUGUUGGGUUAAGUCCCGCAACGAGCGCAACCCUCGUUCCAUGUUGCCAGCACGUGAUGGUGGGGACUCAUGGGAGACUGCCGGGGUCAACUCGGAGGAAGGUGGGGAUGACGUCAAGUCAUCAUGCCCCUUAUGUCCAGGGCUUCACACAUGCUACAAUGGCCGGUACAGAGGGUUGCGAGACCGCAAGGUGGAGCGAAUCCCAAAAAGCCAGUCUCAGUUCGGAUUGGGGUCUGCAACUCGACCCCAUGAAGUCGGAGUCGCUAGUAAUCGCAGAUCAGCAACGCUGCGGUGAAUACGUUCCCGGGC
RNAcentral lists this ribosomal RNA (456 nucleotides) under uncultured soil bacterium. RNAcentral's name for it is "bacterial SSU rRNA". It matches the Rfam family "Bacterial small subunit ribosomal RNA", at positions 923 to 1379 of the family's 1533-position model. The record is from RNAcentral.